This is a long non-coding RNA of Paramormyrops kingsleyae, 940 nucleotides long. RefSeq lists it as uncharacterized. NCBI's taxonomy places the organism in Eukaryota, Metazoa, Chordata, Actinopteri, Osteoglossiformes, Mormyridae. The record is from RefSeq and is a predicted model, not a curated record.
GUCAGGAGUGGCACCACGCUCAUAAACACCACAGGUCCUCCAUUCCCAAGGAAUCCGCGGGGAACGCUGCGGACACACUCUGCUAGCAGGCUGAAAAAGACACAUUCAAAAGAUUAAAAGGGAAGAAACAGAUUUCACAUCUGAACAUGCAUGGUCAUCACCACCACCACCAUCAUCAUGGCUACAAUAUGGGUUUCCAGCCAGGAGGCUAUGUGGCACCCGGAGCCUACGUCUCUCCUGGAGCCUACGUCUCUCCUGGAGCCUACGUCUCACCCGGAGCCUACGUCUCUCCUGGAAUAGGAGGGGCUCUCCCAGGGGGCGUCGUGCUACCAGCUUAUGCUCCUUCCCCAUACCAAGCAGUCGGUCUUCCAGCCAUUGGCCUUCCAUGGGGACAUAGGCACCAUCACGGCCUUGGUCUGGGCAACCUUCUUGGCCUUGGUUUCGGUCAUCAUCACCAUCACGGUCAUCAUCACUGAUCCACUGAGCCUCUUACUCAUAGAGAUUUAUAGGGCUGCUACCAUAUUAUGAUAAUGAUAUUGCCGUUAUUAUCAGCUAAACAUUAUUAUUUCAUAUUUUGGACUUUCUCUGCUGGCCUCAGGAGGUUGGGCUCUCCCUUGGAGUUUGGUUCCUCCCAAGAUUUCGUCCUACUGGGGAGUUUUUCUCUGCCACUAUCGCCUCUGACUUGCUAUCUUGGGGCUUUUGGGGUAUGUAAACCACUUUGAGACAUAGUGUCACAAUGCUGUGUAUAAAAAUAAAUUGAAUUUAAUUAAACGUAAUAUCUGGGGUUCAGUUGUGAAGAUGAAAAUGAAAAUGUGUUAUUCCAACUUUGCUUAAUGUGUCCUCGUCAAACAAAAGGAAUAGCUUUAUACAACUUGAUCUAUUCUUAAAUGUUUUAUUGUUUGACAGAAUAAAGAGAAUUUGAAAGAAACAUGAAACUGAA